AUGUGCUUGAGCAGGCAUUUGGACCUUAGGAUGACGGGUGCAACAUCUCGGGGAGAACCAAGUCCUCGUAAUGGCAUCUCUAGCCAUAACAGUUCAGUUGGUGCACAGCGACGUGGUGGCUCGACAAGUGUGGGCAACAGCAGUAGGGUCCCCCUUGAAGUGGAGCCUGAUGACUACAAUUCUGGGGUUGAUGAAGAGAAGCUAUAUUCUGAUGUUAUUCGGAAUUUACGAUGGGCACCUCGGGCUGAUAACCAAGAUGAGGCUCACAAUGCAGUCCGUGUGGAUGAUGACGCGGUGGGUGAGGACGAAGAUCUUGCAGCUAUUGAAUGGGACCCUUUGAACCCUCAUAUGGAAGAAGAUACAGUUUUUGCAUCCAUGAAUGAGUGUAGAAAUGCACUUGUGACAUACUGCAUCAAGGUAGAACGUACAUUCAAAGUUGACAAGAGCGAUCAAGUACGUUACAGAGUGCACUGUCCGACUGAGGGUUGUCCAUGGAGGCUGCUUGCAUCUAAAAUGCGAAAUAGCACUAAUGUUCAGGUCAAAGUGAACCCUUUUAAGCACACAUGCCAGGAAUCAACCCUUAGGAAGGAUACAAUUAGUAGAGCCAAGUCAAGAUGGGUGGCAGAAGAAGUAAAGAAGUGGGUGAAAGAAAACCAGCAAGUGGGUCCAAAGGAAUUGCGGAAGAACAUCAAAGAUAAAUUCAAGAUAGAUUUACCAUACAUGAGGUUGUUCAAUGGUAAACAA
This 744-nucleotide ribosomal RNA is filed under the name Triticum aestivum (bread wheat). Its description in RNAcentral is "partial small subunit ribosomal RNA". Lineage: Eukaryota; Viridiplantae; Streptophyta; Magnoliopsida; Poales; Poaceae. The record is from RNAcentral.